RNAcentral lists this ribosomal RNA (491 nucleotides) under uncultured bacterium. Its description in RNAcentral is "partial 16S ribosomal RNA". It matches the Rfam family "Bacterial small subunit ribosomal RNA", at positions 29 to 506 of the family's 1533-position model. The record is from RNAcentral.
AGUGAACGCUGGCGGUAGGCCUAACACAUGCAAGUCGAACGGCAGCACAGUAAGAGCUUGCUCUUACGGGUGGCGAGUGGCGGACGGGUGAGGAAUACAUCGGAAUCUACUUUUUCGUGGGGGAUAACGUAGGGAAACUUACGCUAAUACCGCAUACGACCUACGGGUGAAAGCAGGGGAUCUUCGGACCUUGCGCGAUUGAAUGAGCCGAUGUCGGAUUAGCUAGUUGGCGGGGUAAAGGCCCACCAAGGCGACGAUCCGUAGCUGGUCUGAGAGGAUGAUCAGCCACGCUGGAACUGAGACACGGUCCAGACUCCUACGGGAGGCAGCAGUGGGGAAUAUUGGACAAUGGGCGCAAGCCUGAUCCAGCCAUACCGCGUGGGUGAAGAAGGCCUGCGGGUUGUAAAGCCCUUUUGUUGGGAAAGAAAAGCAGCAGGUUAAUACCCCGCUGUUCUGACGGUACCCAAAGAAUAAGCACCGGCGAACUUCGG